CUACGGCCCCACCAGCUGCCCUCAUCGGGUAACAAGUGCUGUAGCAAACGAAAAAUCCUCCCAGAAUUCCAAUUGUACUUCCAGGAUCAACAUCGAUUGCUCUCUGUAGAGUCAAGCCUUUAGAACCACGUGAAGUACUUUAAGUUUUCAAUUGGGUUCUGUAUCUGUGCAGAUUGCCUUGGGAAGUGGUCUAAGAAGAUCCAGUGGAAUAUUUUAGAUUUUGAAUGGACUUAAAGAGCACGAGGCAGACUGAAUCGGUCUUUUCUGAAUUGCGUGAGUAGGUAUUCAUCUUGUGGAAUACACAUAUCCUCAGCCACUCUUUUUCCAAACACUUGCCUGUGAUCUGUGUUCUGCCGUUGUGUUUCCACCGACCCAAUUCCUCCUACGCCCGGGUGUCUAGCUGCUCACGCUUUCCAGGCAGAUCUUUGAAGUUUUCUGCUCUUGGACUGCUGGGAGUUUUCAGUACGGUCACUUUUCUGCUUGUGGGAUUUUUUGGAAAUUUACCCUAGUCUGCUCGUCUCUGCUAAAGACACCAUCCUCAGGGACAAGGGGAGACGUAAGGACUGCAGGGGUGCAUUCUCUUCCCUUGUGCACCCCCUCCACUCUGGGUAGAAGAGAUGCUGGAGAACAAAAAGGGACAGAGCGCUCAGGAUGGAGUAGUCUCUGUCUUAACCAAUACUGGUCCCAUCAACAGAGUGGCAACCAACAACUGCAUCCUUACUGCUAAACCUCAUGCAGCCACCCGCAGAGAUACUGGAAUUAUAGUGCCAGAGGCUGGCUGGCGCUGCAGUGUGGACGGGUUUGGGGGGGAUCACGAUGAUGGGCUCAACCUCAGCCCUACACUAAAGGGCACACUGCAACAGAGGCUGGAGUUCAGAGGACCUUUGGUGGUGGCCACAGACAAUAGCCCUCUGAAGAAUUGAUUUGACCUUUCAAAAUGUGACAACUUCAGUGUCUAAUAAACAAAUAAUCAGAGCACCAAACUUGCUGGGUAAUACUGGAGCUGUGGAGUCUGAAAUAAUUACAAAACGUUACGUAGAAUUCACCGUCAAACGACGCUGUCAUUCACCACAGUGUCACCUCAUAGCAUUACUCAUUUGUAACUAUUAAUGUCUCGUGUAGGUGGUGAGGGGAGACUGCUGUACUGAUUUUGUGUAAACUUUCCAUGGACCAAAGCUUACAGUUGGCCAGAGACACAUUUCGGUGUGCUACUUUUCAAGGUGGACCUCAAGGUGCAGGUUUAUAUGAUCUCUGAGGUGUCUUACUGAGGUGUCUCUUCUCUUCCAUGCACAAAGAUGUAGACAACAUCAACUGAAUGUCCAACCAUGAGGUACAAACACCAGUGGGGAUGAACUUUGAAAUGGCAAAGAAUCAAAACCUUUGUAACAAAUCAGUUAUUUACUAUGUUCUGUAAUGGUUUUGAACUUGAAGCAUCAGAACAUGGAGAAAAAGC
Clupea harengus (Atlantic herring) is the source of this 1453-nucleotide long non-coding RNA. The record is from Ensembl. Lineage: Eukaryota; Metazoa; Chordata; Actinopteri; Clupeiformes; Clupeidae.